Molecule: non-coding RNA, 135 nt
Organism: Triticum aestivum (bread wheat)
Lineage: Eukaryota; Viridiplantae; Streptophyta; Magnoliopsida; Poales; Poaceae
Source: Rfam
UGCUUACUCCCUCUGUUCGAAAAUACUUGUCAUCAAAAUGGAUAAAAAGAGAUGUAUCUAGAACUAAAAUACGUCUAGAUACAUCCCCUUUUAUCCAUUUUGAUGACAAGUAUUUCCGGACGGAAGGAGUACAUA